This 149-nucleotide unclassified non-coding RNA is filed under the name uncultured fungus. RNAcentral's name for it is "sequence contains ITS1". Lineage: Eukaryota; Fungi. The record is from RNAcentral.
CCGAGUUUCUACUCAUAACCCAUUGUGAACUUACCUUUUGUUGCUUCGGCGGACCGGGGGAGCCCUCUCGGGGGCCGACCCGCCGCCGGGGAAAACCAAACCUCUGUUUUUACCAUGUGUAUCUUCUGAGUUAAAACAUAAAUAAAUCA